RNAcentral lists this ribosomal RNA (1018 nucleotides) under Oxyopes licenti. RNAcentral describes it as "16S ribosomal RNA". The record is from RNAcentral. Lineage: Eukaryota; Metazoa; Arthropoda; Arachnida; Araneae; Oxyopidae.
UAUAUUUUAUAAAACAAAUUUUUAAAAAAUUAAUUUUAUUUUUUUUUAUUAUAUUAAAAUAAAAACUGAAAAGGAAAAUAAAAAUUUUUCAAAGAAAUAUAUUAUUCCUUUAGUAUCAGGAUUUAUUUAUUCAAAUAAUAAUUUUUUAUUCCCGAAAUUUUAAGAUCUAUUUAAUUUUAUAAACUCAUUAUAUGAACUUUUAAAAGUUAAAUUGAAAUUAAACGUUAUUCGAUUAAAUUAAUAUCUGGUAUUUUAUAAAAAAUUAUAUUAAAUAUAAUUUUUGUAAGAUAAAUUACAUUAAAAGUUUAUUUUUUUUAUAAAACUAAAUAUAGAAAUUAUAAUAUUCAAACAGUUUAAUAACUUAUUAAUUUAAUUAAAUAAAACUCUACUAAUAAAAUAUCAUCUUUAUUAUAUAAAAAUGAUAAAAUAAGUAAAUAUUUUAAAUAAAUUUAAAUAACUCAUAUAUUUAAUGACUGUUUAACAAAAACAUCUCUAUUAGAAAUAAUUAAUAGUAAGAUCUGCUCAAUGAAAUUAUUUAAUAGCCGCAAUUGUGCUAAGGUAGCAUAAUCAUUUGUCUUUUAAUUAAAGACUAGAACAAAAGAUUUAACAUUUAAAAUUAUUUCUUUAAUCUAAAUAUUAAAAUUAUCUUAAAAGUAAAAAGACUUUUAUAAAAUAGAAAGACGAUAAGACCCUAUUGAAUUUUACUUUAGUUUAACUGGGGCAGUUAAUUAAUAAAUAUUUUAAUAAUAAUAUUUAUUAAAUUGAUCUAAUAAAAUUAAUUAAAUGAUUAAAUUACCGUAGGGAUAACAGCGUAAUAAAAUUUUAAAGAUCUUAUUAAAAAUAAUAAUUGCGACCUCGAUGUUGAUUUAAUAUUCUUAUUCACGCAAUAGUAGAUAUAGAAAGUCUGUUCGACUUUUAAAAAAUUACAUGAUUUGAGUUCAGACCGGUGCAAACCAGGUCGGUUUCUAUCUUCUUAAAUUUCUUCUAGUACGAGAGGACCUAAGAAAAUAAUUAAAUU